GAUGAACGCUAGCGGGAGGCCUAACACGUGCAAGCCGAGCGGUAGAGUCUCUUCGGAGACUUGAGAGCGGCGCACGGGUGCGGAACACGUGUGCAACCUGCCUUUAUCUGGGGGAUAGCCUUUCGAAAGGAAGAUUAAUACCCCAUAAUAUACUGGAUGGCAUCAUCUGGUAUUGAAAACUCCGGUGGAUAGAGAUGGGCACGCGCAAGAUUAGAUAGUUGGUGAGGUAACGGCUCACCAAGUCAGCGAUCUUUAGGGGGCCUGAGAGGGUGAUCCCCCACACUGGUACUGAGACACGGACCAGACUCCUACGGGAGGCAGCAGUGAGGAAUAUUGGACAAUGGGUGAGAGCCUGAUCCAGCCAUCCCGCGUGAAGGACGACGGCCCUAUGGGUUGUAAACUUCUUUUGUAUAGGGAUAAACCUAGAUACGUGUAUCUAGCUGAAGGUACUAUACGAAUAAGCACCGGCUAACUCCGUG
This 479-nucleotide ribosomal RNA is filed under the name uncultured bacterium. Its description in RNAcentral is "partial 16S ribosomal RNA". It matches the Rfam family "Bacterial small subunit ribosomal RNA", at positions 28 to 507 of the family's 1533-position model. The record is from RNAcentral.